Molecule: ribosomal RNA, 449 nt
Filed under: uncultured bacterium
Lineage: Bacteria
Description: partial 16S ribosomal RNA
Rfam family: Bacterial small subunit ribosomal RNA
Source: RNAcentral
AACGAACGCUGGCGGCAGGCUUAACACAUGCAAGUCGAGCGCAUCCUUCGGGGUGAGCGGCAGACGGGUGAGUAACGCGUGGGAACGUACCCUUUCCUACGGAAUAGCACCGGGAAACUGGAAUUAAUACCGUAUACGCCCUUAGGGGGGAAGAUUUAUCGGGGAAGGAUCGGCCCGCGUUGGAUUAGCUAGUUGGUGGGGUAAAGGCCUACCAAGGCGACGAUCCAUAGCUGGUCUGAGAGGAUGAUCAGCCACAUUGGGACUGAGACACGGCCCAAACUCCUACGGGAGGCAGCAGUGGGGAAUAUUGGACAAUGGGCGCAAGCCUGAUCCAGCCAUGCCGCGUGAGUGAUGAAGGCCUUAGGGUUGUAAAGCUCUUUCAGUAGGGAAGAUAAUGACGGUACCUACAGAAGAAGCCCCGGCUAACUUCGUGCCAGCAGCCGCAGUAA